This 70-nucleotide transfer RNA is filed under the name Brachidontes exustus (scorched mussel). Its description in RNAcentral is "tRNA-Lys". Lineage: Eukaryota; Metazoa; Mollusca; Bivalvia; Mytilida; Mytilidae. The record is from RNAcentral.
UAGGUUAAAGCUUUUAGAAGCGCCGGACUUUUAAUCCGUGUGAAGUCGGUUUAAUGUACGUCUAGCCUAU